This 74-nucleotide transfer RNA is filed under the name Schistocerca americana (American grasshopper). Its description in RNAcentral is "tRNA-Cys". It matches the Rfam family "tRNA". From Rfam's summary of the family: Transfer RNA (tRNA) molecules are approximately 80 nucleotides in length. Their secondary structure includes four short double-helical elements and three loops (D, anti-codon, and T loops). Lineage: Eukaryota; Metazoa; Arthropoda; Insecta; Orthoptera; Acrididae. The record is from RNAcentral.
UGCUUGGGUAGCUCAGUUGGUAGAGCACUUGCCCGCAAAGGCAAAGGUCCCGAGUUCGAGUCUCGGUCCGGCAA